This 473-nucleotide ribosomal RNA is filed under the name uncultured bacterium. RNAcentral describes it as "SSU rRNA". It matches the Rfam family "Bacterial small subunit ribosomal RNA", at positions 26 to 518 of the family's 1533-position model. The record is from RNAcentral.
AGGACGAACGCUGGCGGCGUGCUUAACACAUGCAAGUCGAGCGGAAAGGCCCUUCGGGGUACUCGAGCGGCGAACGGGUGAGUAACACGUGAGCAAUCUGCCCUUAGCUUCGGGAUAGCCCCGGGAAACCGGGAUUAAUACCGAAUAUGACUUCGGCCGACAUCGGCUGCGGUGGAAAGUUUUUCGGCUAGGGAUGAGCUCGCGGCCUAUCAGCUAGUUGGUGGGGUAAUGGCCUACCAAGGCGACGACGGGUAGCCGGCCUGAGAGGGCGACCGGCCACACUGGGACUGAGACACGGCCCAGACUCCUACGGGAGGCAGCAGUGGGGAAUAUUGCGCAAUGGGCGAAAGCCUGACGCAGCGACGCCGCGUGGGGGAUGAAUGCCUUCGGGUUGUAAACCCCUUUCAGCAGGGACGAAGCGAAGUGACGGUACCUGCAGAAGAAGCGCCGGCUAACUACGUGCCAGCAGCCGC